UUACAGGGAUGACUGAAAGCC
Molecule: non-coding RNA, 21 nt
Filed under: Mus musculus (house mouse)
Lineage: Eukaryota; Metazoa; Chordata; Mammalia; Rodentia; Muridae
Source: RNAcentral